RNAcentral lists this ribosomal RNA (501 nucleotides) under uncultured bacterium. RNAcentral describes it as "bacterial SSU rRNA". It matches the Rfam family "Bacterial small subunit ribosomal RNA", at positions 10 to 507 of the family's 1533-position model. The record is from RNAcentral.
AGUUUGAUCAUGGCUCAGAUUGAACGCUGGCGGCAUGCCUUACACAUGCAAGUCGAACGGCAGCGGACCUUCGGGUGCCGGCGAGUGGCGAACGGGUGAGUAAUGCAUCGGAACGUGCCAUUGAGUGGGGGAUAACGUAGCGAAAGUUGCGCUAAUACCGCAUAUUCUGUGAGCAGGAAAGCAGGGGACCGCAAGGCCUUGCGCUCUUUGAGCGGCCGAUGUCAGAUUAGCUAGUUGGUGAGGUAACGGCUUACCAAGGCGACGAUCUGUAGCGGGUCUGAGAGGAUGAUCCGCCACACUGGAACUGAGACACGGUCCAGACCCCUACGGGAGGCAGCAGUGGGGAAUUUUUGGACAAUGGGGGCAACCCUGAUCCAGCCAUGCCGCGUGAGUGAAGAAGGCCUUCGGGUUGUAAAGCUCUUUCGGCCGGGAAGAAAUCGCAUGGGUUAAUACCCUGUGUGGAUGACGGUACCGGCAUAAGAAGCACCGGCUAACUACGUG